GGAGGUUGGCGGCGGGCGGAUCUCGUGCCAACCCGGCCAGGUCCGGAAGGAAGCAACCGUAACACUUUCGAUCCGGGUCGUUGUCCAAUCUCCCAC
This 96-nucleotide signal recognition particle RNA is filed under the name Pseudomonadota bacterium. RNAcentral describes it as "signal recognition particle sRNA small type". It matches the Rfam family "Bacterial small signal recognition particle RNA". From Rfam's summary of the family: The signal recognition particle (SRP) is a universally conserved ribonucleoprotein involved in the co-translational targeting of proteins to membranes. The record is from RNAcentral. Lineage: Bacteria; Pseudomonadati; Pseudomonadota.